AUGCACGCUGGCGGCGUGCCUAAUACAUGCAAGUCGAACGCUGGAGAUCUAGCUUGCUAGAUCGAAGGAGUGGCGAACGGGUGAGUAAUACAUAAGCAACCUACCCACGAAGACUGGGAUAAUCUCUGGAAACGGGGACUAAUACCGGAUAGGUAAUCGGAAGGCAUCUUCUGGUUAUUAAAGGUUAAAAACACUGGUGGAUGGGCUUAUGGCGCAUUAGUUAGUUGGUGAGGUAACGGCCCACCAAGACGAUGAUGCGUAGCCGGCCUGAGAGGGUGAACGGCCACAUUGGGACUGAGACACGGCCCAGACUCCUACGGGAGGCAGCAGUAGGGAAUUGUCGGCAAUGGGGGCAACCCUGACCGAGCAACGCCGCGUGAGUGAAGACGGCCUUCGGGUUGUAAAGCUCUGUUGUAAGGGAAGAACGGUAGAUAGAGAAUAUCUAAGUGACGGUACCUUACCAGAAAGCCACGGCUAACUACGUG
This 485-nucleotide ribosomal RNA is filed under the name uncultured bacterium. Its description in RNAcentral is "partial 16S ribosomal RNA". It matches the Rfam family "Bacterial small subunit ribosomal RNA", at positions 29 to 507 of the family's 1533-position model. The record is from RNAcentral.